This 437-nucleotide unclassified non-coding RNA is filed under the name Prostanthera ovalifolia. Its description in RNAcentral is "partial miscellaneous RNA". The record is from RNAcentral. Lineage: Eukaryota; Viridiplantae; Streptophyta; Magnoliopsida; Lamiales; Lamiaceae.
AUGAASGUAAUGCUCAUAACUUUCCUCUAGACCUAGCUGCUAUCGAAGCUCCAACAAAUGUAUAAGACUUGGUCUUAGUGUAGAGGAGCUUUUGAAAAUAGGAUAGAUAAAUAUAAGGAGCAAUAAACUCUUUCUUGUUCUAUCAAGAGGGUUUGUUGCUCCUUUGUUUUUUUUUAAGUAGUGUUUUUUAGUAGUAUUCCCUUUAUCUAGACUUUAAUGUUUCCAGUACAUAAAAAAGAAGAUAAAUAGAAUGAUUGAAAUUCAAUCUUUUGUCUUACAAUUUAUAAAAAAUCAAAAUUGUAAACUUGAAUUCGUAAAUAAAAAAAAGAAUAUCGAUUUUAUUUUCUAAAAAUAUUAGAAAGUCGAUUUAAAAGUCAAAGAAAUAGAGUUUCUAGUUAUAGUAGAGGGGCGGAUGUAGCCAAGUGGAUCAAGGCAGU